RNAcentral lists this unclassified non-coding RNA (202 nucleotides) under uncultured Tomentella. Its description in RNAcentral is "sequence contains ITS1". Lineage: Eukaryota; Fungi; Basidiomycota; Agaricomycetes; Thelephorales; Thelephoraceae. The record is from RNAcentral.
CCGAAUUGUCAACAAGAGUUGUUGCUGGUCCCUCAAACAGGGGGCAUGUGCACGCUCUGUUCACACAUCCACUCACACCCUGUGCACCCUCUGUAGUUCUAUGGUUGGGGGGCUUGUCCCUCCUGCUGUGGUUCUGCUUCUUUACACACACACACUGUAACAAGUCUCAUGGAAUGCAUGCUGCGUUUAACGCAAUACAAUA